UACUCAGGAAGGCAUUAUUCA
RNAcentral lists this microRNA (21 nucleotides) under Oryctolagus cuniculus (rabbit). RNAcentral describes it as "ocu-miR-506-5p". Its record names the gene ocu-miR-506-5p. The record is from miRBase by way of RNAcentral. Lineage: Eukaryota; Metazoa; Chordata; Mammalia; Lagomorpha; Leporidae.